RNAcentral lists this ribosomal RNA (253 nucleotides) under uncultured bacterium. Its description in RNAcentral is "partial 16S ribosomal RNA". It matches the Rfam family "Bacterial small subunit ribosomal RNA", at positions 524 to 776 of the family's 1533-position model. The record is from RNAcentral.
UACGAAGGGGGCUAGCGUUGCUCGGAAUCACUGGGCGUAAAGCGCGCGUAGGCGGCUUUGUAAGUUAGAGGUGAAAGCCCGGGGCUCAACCCCGGAACUGCCUUUAAAACUGCAUCGCUUGAAUCCGGGAGAGGUGAGUGGAAUUCCGAGUGUAGAGGUGAAAUUCGUAGAUAUUCGGAAGAACACCAGUGGCGAAGGCGGCUCACUGGACCGGCAUUGACGCUGAGGUGCGAAAGCGUGGGGAGCAAACAGG